ACUUUAAAAUAAAAGGUGAAUCCCUGCUUGAGAACAGCCAGAGUCUCUGCUGCUAGCACAAGAACCUACAUAAAGAGGGAAUGAGAUUCAUCCCAAGAGUAAGUCCUGAGCUGGGGCAGCGGGGAAAUCCACACGAAAUCAAUAAGACUAGUGACUCAGACCCAAGUAAGUGACACCAUUGAGAAGCUGCUGUAACUGAGGACAGAAUUGUCACCUGCGUUUUCUUACUAUUACACCAUUUUCUUGCGGCAUUCCCUUGGCAAAUAGAGACAGCUAUAUUCUUCAACUAUGUAUUCUGUGCUCUGUUUUCUUUAACAUCAGUUCAAGUUCUUAUUCUUCCUUUUCAAUACUCUGCAGGAAUUAUCCUGUCUACAUCUUCCAAGCAGUUUUACUGUGGCACUUUCUACACUCCUAUUUUGUUGUUAGAUGCAACUAAGAGUGUCUUCAGUUUGUCAGAAGCCAGAAAAAAGACCAAGCCUGUUUGCAGAUGUAUGAAAUGUAAAUGCAACAACAAGAAGUCAAACUUAAUUUACAGCUGAUCUGAAUCACUUGGUUUGAUUUCUACAAUUCUUUUUAACCAAAGCAAAAUAAAUUUCAAGCCAAAAAAAAUCUUUCAAAUCUUAAAAAAAAAAAGGUGUUUCGUUUCAUAGUGAAAUUGCCAAAGGGGCAACUCUUCCCUCCUCCCCACUUUUUCCUCUUUUCUUUUACACUGAAUAUGCUGGAAAGACAGAUACAUAUGCUCUACUCAGAAAACAUCUAGAUCAAAACAUUUCAUCCAACUGUGACCUUUUUGAGCAUCCUGAUGAUUGGAAUGACUUCUCCAUGAUUUAUGGGCCAGCAAGGUCUCCAAUUCCUCCUUACAGAGGAAGAACUGUCUCAAAGAAAGUAUUCAUACUCUCCUGUGUAUCAAUUUGCUUUGCCCUGAUAUGUUUGGAGGAGAGGACUCAAAUGUUUUCAGUACAGCAGCUUUCAUUUUUUAUGUGCUCUUUUCUAAGUGUGUAACAGUGACAAGGGAGAGUGCUAGAAGGCUUUGCUGCAAAACACAUUUGAUAGUUUAUUCCUGUAACAUGAAGUGUUUUGAGACUGAGUUGCCUGUACAGCUCUGACCUUCAGCUCGGAAGAGGAGAUUUUCCAUCAGCCACGGGGUGUAGAGGUAUCAUGGGAGUACAGCUCUGGGAAAGUAUACCACACCGCCUCCAGCCAACAGCACUGAAGCCUUCCGUGUAACCACAGUUCCCCUCUGCAGGUCACCCGCAGCCCCGGAGCAAUCUACAGGCGACAGCACACCUAAAAACCCCACCGCCAACCGCGGGGGCAAGAGCAACUGCUGCAUCGGCAGAUAAAGACAGAGAGGCAGUCAUCACCAAAACAGAAAAAAAAAGUGCCAAGUGGAAGAACUGAUUACUUGUACCUUUCAGAACCAAAGAAACCUGAAAACUAUCCAAAGAUUUGAGACUAUCAAGUUACCUCGCAAAUGCUAUGGAAUAUAACCAGAUCACUCCACCACAGGCAUUACUGUUGUUACUACCAUCAUUUAAAGUUUUUUGCACUGUUGCAAUAGAAUAGUUUCAUCCGAGUAGAUAAGGCACUAAGAUUUGAUGUUUAAGGACUUGAACUUCAAAGAUGAACAUGAAGUUCACAUGUACCAGGAAACUACAGCAACGUAGUGCUAUUACAUCUUCUUUAAUGAAACAAUCAGUAAUGACUGUAGUUUCAACAAAUUGCCAGUCGGCCAUCAAAAUAUCUGAUUUAAAAACAUAUCUCGGCUUAAAUAGCUUGGAAGUUUUUGGAAAAAUAAAAUCUUGAAUUCCCUUUCA
Long non-coding RNA from Aquila chrysaetos chrysaetos, 1817 nucleotides. RefSeq lists it as uncharacterized. Lineage: Eukaryota; Metazoa; Chordata; Aves; Accipitriformes; Accipitridae. The record is from RefSeq and is a predicted model, not a curated record. The transcript has 3 exons.